GGGGGCGUAGCUCAGUGGUUAGAGCAGUCGGCUCAUAACUGAUUGGUCGUAGGUUCAAGUCCUACCGCCCCCACCA
This 76-nucleotide transfer RNA is filed under the name Candidatus Saccharimonadota bacterium. RNAcentral describes it as "Candidatus Saccharibacteria bacterium tRNA-Ile". It matches the Rfam family "tRNA". From Rfam's summary of the family: Transfer RNA (tRNA) molecules are approximately 80 nucleotides in length. Their secondary structure includes four short double-helical elements and three loops (D, anti-codon, and T loops). Further hydrogen bonds mediate the characteristic L-shaped molecular structure. tRNAs have two regions of fundamental functional importance: the anti-codon, which is responsible for specific mRNA codon recognition, and the 3' end, to which the tRNAs corresponding amino acid is attached (by aminoacyl-tRNA synthetases). tRNAs cope with the degeneracy of the genetic code in two manners: having more than one tRNA (with a specific anti-codon) for a particular amino acid; and 'wobble' base-pairing, i.e. permitting non-standard base-pairing at the 3rd anti-codon position. The record is from RNAcentral. Lineage: Bacteria; Candidatus Saccharimonadota. RNAcentral also lists the same sequence under 3 other names.